GGGCCCGUAGCUCAGCUUGGUAGAACUUUUCAAAGCAGGGGAUUUCGCUUUGCCAAAAGCGACCGGCUCAUAACCGGUCGGUCGAGGGUUCAAAUCCCUCCGGGCCCA
Molecule: transfer RNA, 108 nt
Filed under: Nitrososphaerota archaeon
Lineage: Archaea; Thermoproteati; Nitrososphaerota
Description: Thaumarchaeota archaeon tRNA-Ile
Rfam family: tRNA
About the family: Transfer RNA (tRNA) molecules are approximately 80 nucleotides in length. Their secondary structure includes four short double-helical elements and three loops (D, anti-codon, and T loops). Further hydrogen bonds mediate the characteristic L-shaped molecular structure. tRNAs have two regions of fundamental functional importance: the anti-codon, which is responsible for specific mRNA codon recognition, and the 3' end, to which the tRNAs corresponding amino acid is attached (by aminoacyl-tRNA synthetases). tRNAs cope with the degeneracy of the genetic code in two manners: having more than one tRNA (with a specific anti-codon) for a particular amino acid; and 'wobble' base-pairing, i.e. permitting non-standard base-pairing at the 3rd anti-codon position.
Source: RNAcentral